UACGUAGGGUGCAAGCGUUGUCCGGAAUUAUUGGGCGUAAAGAGCUUGUAGGCGGUUUGUCGCGUCUGCUGUGAAAACUCGGGGCUUAACUCCGGGCCUGCAGUGGGUACGGGCAGACUAGAGUGCGGUAGGGGGAGACUGGAAUUCCUGGUGUAGCGGUGAAAUGCGCAGAUAUCAGGAGGAACACCGAUGGCGAAGGCAGUUCUCUGGGCCGUAACUGACGCUGAGGAGCGAAAGCGUGGGGGAGCGAACAGG
This 255-nucleotide ribosomal RNA is filed under the name uncultured bacterium. Its description in RNAcentral is "partial 16S ribosomal RNA". It matches the Rfam family "Bacterial small subunit ribosomal RNA", at positions 524 to 776 of the family's 1533-position model. The record is from RNAcentral.